UGAAGUAGCUCAAUCGGUAGAGCAACUGACUUGUAAUCAGUAGGUUGCGGGUUCAAGUCCCAUCUUCA
RNAcentral lists this transfer RNA (68 nucleotides) under human gut metagenome. It matches the Rfam family "tRNA". Rfam says of the family: Transfer RNA (tRNA) molecules are approximately 80 nucleotides in length. Their secondary structure includes four short double-helical elements and three loops (D, anti-codon, and T loops). The record is from RNAcentral.